RNAcentral lists this long non-coding RNA (972 nucleotides) under Cyanistes caeruleus (blue tit). Its description in RNAcentral is "lncRNA (ENSCCEG00000011235.1)". The record is from RNAcentral. Lineage: Eukaryota; Metazoa; Chordata; Aves; Passeriformes; Paridae.
AUGUUACUAACCCCAUGCUAUUCAUCAGAGAGAGAAAAGCUUUUUAAAACAGCUGACUUACAAAGAAUAAUACUAUUAAAAAUAUUUUCAUAAUAAAACCUUGAUUAAGCAAAGACUUCUCAAUGCCUGUAUUACCUAAAAAUCCUACAAUGCAGUUCUAACACUUAAUUGAAUGCUUUCAUAAUUACAAGUAGAUUCCACAGGUGAAACAGAUUUUAAUUUAUUCAUUUAUUCUACCCCAUUUGAGCUCAACAAGGUUCUUUAUAAAAUAGUCACAGGUGCUGCACAGAGAUUUGCUCUUUUGUAGUGCUUGCUUUACAUAUAGUAGUUGUUGUACAGAACAUUUGCCUCCUCAAAUGAGAGGGUGUGGGGAUCAAGUGUUUUGUUUUGGUUUUUUUUGUGAGACAAAGAAUCCCACUGGAGAUUUUUUUUUGCUGUAGUAUUGCCUCCUUCUGUGAUGGUUAAGGGGUUAAUAUGCUGGCAUAAGUUGGUGGGCUGUCUCUACACUGAGGAGAGCAGCUCUUCAGACAAAACGCUGAAGAGCAAAAGGAUGAAGUACAAAUGCCAUUCAGCGGUGUCUAACAUAACUGAUAAAUGCUUUUUGUGUUCCUGUAUCUGUCAGGAUGGAUAUCGCCAUGACAAAAAAAGUGCAAGAAAAUAACAUACUAGUGAAUUCUGUCACUGCAUACCCUAUUAUCAACACCUAGUUAUCUCCAGAUUUCUCGUGUGACACCAUGGAGUACCCCAAGUGUAGAUGCCUUAAUGUAUCUAUAGAAAAGCUGUGUUACACAGCUUGAUAAGCUCAUACUUGUAACUUUCAAGUGUUCAGCUACAAAGUAAAUUAAUAUUUUAAAGGCAGUUUGUGGGUUGCUUAAGGAAUUUUUGUGUGCAAACGUUGCCCAAUGAAGAGAGUAAAAAAGAAAUGUGCUUUCCAACUAAAUGUACCCAAUAAAGUCCAAAUGACGCAAAACA